UACGUAGGGACCAAGCGUUGUUCGGAUUUACUGGGCGUAAAGGGCGCGUAGGCGGCUUGACAAGUCACUUGUGAAAUCUCCGGGCUUAACUCGGAACGGCCAAGUGAAACUGUCAUGCUAGAGUGCAGAAGGGGCAAUCGGAAUUCUUGGUGUAGCGGUGAAAUGCGUAGAUAUCAGGAGGAACACCUGUGGUGUAGACAGCUUACUGGACCACUUCUGACGCUGAGACACGAAAGCGUGGGUAGCAAACAGG
This 253-nucleotide ribosomal RNA is filed under the name uncultured bacterium. RNAcentral describes it as "partial 16S ribosomal RNA". It matches the Rfam family "Bacterial small subunit ribosomal RNA", at positions 524 to 776 of the family's 1533-position model. The record is from RNAcentral.